GGAAACCGAUGCUAAUACCGGAUGAGCCGCGAGGUAAAACAUUUAUGGCCUAUGGAGGAGCUCGCGACUGAUUAGCUAGUUGGUGGGGUAAGAGCUUACCAAGGCGACGAUCAGUAGCUGGUCUGAGAGGAUGAUCAGCCACACUGGGACUGAGACACGGCCCAGACUCCUACGGGAGGCAGCAGUGGGGAAUUUUCCGCAAUGGGGGCAACCCUGACGGAGCAACGCCGCGUGAGGGAAGAAUGGUUGUGGCCAGUAAACCUCUUUUAAUAGGGAAGAAUUCUGACGGUACCUAUUGAAUAAGCAUCGGCUAACUCCGUGCCAGCAGCCGCGGUAAUACGGAGGAUGCAAGCGUUAUCCGGAAUUAUUGGGCGUAAAGCGUCCGCAGGUGGUUAGUCAAGUCAGCUGUAAAGGACUCAGGCUCAACUUGGGAUGUGCAGUUGAAACUGAUUGACUAGAGUACGGUAGGGGUAGAGGGAAUUCCUAGUGUAGCGGUGAAAUGCGUAGAUAUUAGGAAGAACACCAGUGGCGAAGGCGCUCUACUGGGCCUGUACUGACACUGAGGGACGAAAGCUAGGGGAGCGAAAGGGAUUAGAUACCC
This 601-nucleotide ribosomal RNA is filed under the name uncultured cyanobacterium. RNAcentral describes it as "bacterial SSU rRNA". It matches the Rfam family "Bacterial small subunit ribosomal RNA", at positions 152 to 787 of the family's 1533-position model. Lineage: Bacteria; Bacillati; Cyanobacteriota. The record is from RNAcentral.